This is an unclassified non-coding RNA of Pongo abelii (Sumatran orangutan), 148 nucleotides long. It matches the Rfam family "Metazoan signal recognition particle RNA". From Rfam's summary of the family: The signal recognition particle (SRP) is a universally conserved ribonucleoprotein. Lineage: Eukaryota; Metazoa; Chordata; Mammalia; Primates; Hominidae. The record is from Ensembl.
GCCAGGCGUGGUGGCGGGCGCCUGUAAUCCCAGGUACUUGGAAGGCUGAGGCAGGAGAAUUGCUUGAACUCAGGAGGUGGAGGUUGCAGUGAGCCAAGAUCGCGCCACUGCACUCCAGCCUGGGUGACAGAGCAAGACUCUGUCUCAA